Molecule: ribosomal RNA, 450 nt
Filed under: uncultured bacterium
Lineage: Bacteria
Description: partial 16S ribosomal RNA
Rfam family: Bacterial small subunit ribosomal RNA
Source: RNAcentral
GUGGGGAAUAUUGGACAAUGGGCGAAAGCCUGAUCCAGCCAUGCCGCGUGUGUGAAGAAGGUCUUCGGAUUGUAAAGCACUUUAAGUUGGGAGGAAGGGCAGUAAGUUAAUACCUUGCUGUUUUGACGUUACCGACAGAAUAAGCACCGGCUAACUUCGUGCCAGCAGCCGCGGUAAUACGAAGGGUGCAAGCGUUAAUCGGAAUUACUGGGCGUAAAGCGCGCGUAGGUGGUUUUGUAAGUUGGAGGUGAAAUCCCCGGGCUCAACCUGGGAACUGCCUCCAAAACUGCAUGACUAGAGUACGGUAGAGGGGAGUGGAAUUUCCUGUGUAGCGGUGAAAUGCGUAGAUAUAGGAAGGAACACCAGUGGCGAAGGCGACUACCUGGACUGAUACUGACACUGAGGUGCGAAAGCGUGGGGAGCAAACAGGAUUAGAAACCCGUGUAGUCC